RNAcentral lists this ribosomal RNA (450 nucleotides) under uncultured bacterium. RNAcentral describes it as "partial 16S ribosomal RNA". It matches the Rfam family "Bacterial small subunit ribosomal RNA", at positions 29 to 507 of the family's 1533-position model. The record is from RNAcentral.
AUGAACGCUGGCGGCGUGCCUCACACAUGCCAGUCGAGCGGCAGCGAGGGGUGCUUGCACCCUGUCGGCGAGCGGCGGACGGCUGAGUAACGCGUGGGAACGUGCCCCAAAGUGAGGAAUAACUGCCCGAAAGGGUAGCUAAUACCGCAUAUUAUCUUCGGAUCAAAGGAUUUAUCCGCUUUGGGAGCGGCUCGCGUCGGAUUAGGUAGUUGGUGAGGUAAUGGCUCACCAAGCCGACGAUCCGUAGCUGGUCUGAGAGGAUGACCAGCCAGACUGGAACUGAGACACGGUCCAGACUCCUACGGGAGGCAGCAGUGAGGAAUCUUCCACAAUGGGCGAAAGCCUGAUGGAGCAACGCCGCGUGCAGGACGAAGGCCUUCGGGUUGUAAACUGCUUUUAUAAGUGAGGAAUAUGACAGUAACUUAUGAAUAAGGAUCGGCUAACUACGUG